Molecule: long non-coding RNA, 8917 nt
Organism: Drosophila yakuba
Lineage: Eukaryota; Metazoa; Arthropoda; Insecta; Diptera; Drosophilidae
Exons: 4
Source: RefSeq, a predicted model, not a curated record
AACAGCAAAAACAAGCUAACAAAAUAACCAACGAGUAAGGGUGUCUGUUUUCGCAGCCUUUUUGGCAUUGUUUCGGUUUAGACGUUUUAUUUUUUUUUGUUUUCUCGUUGCGUUUUGCUUGGCUUUGCCUCAAGUGUUUCUUCUCACUUUGCAAAAUGCAAAGGAAAAGAAAAAUGUUGCAGCUAAUUUGCUUGUUCGGCUAGAAGGGGGAGGGGUGUGCAGAGCGCAACAAGCAAAAAGCCAUUUCGCAAUUUCAAUUGUGCACGUCAAAGUGUUAAAAACGGCACGCGAUUUAUUGUACAAACGCACACAAGAAGAAAAACGCAGUUUUUAAAGUAAAAUCUAAUUGAAAAUUUAAUAUAUCAUAUGUACUAAAAUGCAAGGUUUCCCAAACAUCUGUUUUAAUAUAUAAUUAUGUCUAUACAAAACAUUCCAGAUGAGCCUAAUUGUAAGAGUUUGUUUUAAUACCUGUUCGUACUCCGAUAUAUUACUUGCAUUUCAGUGUAUUGGGGCCAUUAGCUUUUAGAUGAGCUGAAUAAGACUUUUUGUUCCAAGCAAGUCAAAGUUUUUAAUUUUCUUUGGCAUUUCGUUGAUUUCUUUUUUUAUUGAUUUACUGCCUGCAAUCGAGUGUGAAAUUGUCAUGCCCCCAAAUAAAUAUUUGCUAAAAUAUGCCAACAUGCCCGCAUGGCUCUGUAUUUUCGCGUUUAUUCGCAUUUAGUUCUUCAUUUUUUCAUCUCAUUUUUUUAAGCGUUUUCCAUGAUUUAUGCCAGCUUCAUUAAUCUGGGAAAAGGCGAAGGAGCAGCGCGGGUUUGAAUGCUGUUUAUCUUGCCAUCGUUUCUUUUGGCGCUUUUAGCGCUAAGCACAAAACUGGAUGUUGGAAAAAUGAAAUCAAAUUGCCGUUCAUUAAUAAAGCCAAGAGUGCCAAGAGUGGCAAGUGUGUGUAUCCAUCGGAUACCGCCUGUCAAUAGAGCAAGUCUAUGGAAUUCAGCCUGUUUUCGUACUAUACCUCUUUCGCUGGACUUAAUCAUUUGGAAGCGAGCCACAGCUGCCGACUUCAGUUUAUGCCAAUUGAAAUGCAACUAAUUUGUUGGCCCCCCUCAUCCCGCCCCCCUUUUCCCACCAGUCGAGUUCGUAAUUGUUGUUGCAUGCCUAUAAAUUAUGAUAAUUAUUUAAUGCAACCACAAAACGACAGUGGAAAUAAAUCGAAAAAAUAUAAAAUAAAGUUGAAAAAAGCUAUAGCUGAAAACUGAAAUUGUCUGCAGAUAGCCAUGUCAUAUUAAGCAAUUUAUUGAUGGAAAGAGACAGAAAGCGACGAACUAUCUUAUUUUUUCUCGAUACCUACAAUUAUCACGCAAAUGUCCAUAAUAAUCAUGUGGAUAAUGACUAUUAUAUACAUCAAUCCAUCUAAAUGUGUGUGUACACGAUAAUCAUGCCGAAUACAAAAGGCAAUUUACGUAAAUUACACAAAAAAAUCGCAGAAAAUUAAACAAUUUACAAAAGACAAGCCCCCCAUUAAUAAACAUGAAAUAUUGUUGCGGCGAAACUUUUGUAAUGAACCGAACCAACCAAAAUCAACAAUACAGGGAAAAAAUUAAAAUAUAUGGUAAAAAAAAAUAAACGUGGGUACACAAAAAGCAGAUAAACGAAAAAUAAACUUAAAAAAACUGAGAAAUGUAUAUGGCAUAAUCUUUUUAUGGCCAUAAAGCUUAAGCAGGCAGUCGGAAUGUUUUUUUUUUCUUUUUGGGCUUGAGGUGUAUGUUUGUUUAAUUAUUUAAGGCGAAAUACAUUCAGGUCUACAAAAAAACGGAGAGCGAAACUGAGCAGCUGCCAAUUGCGGUGGUAAUAGUUAAUUAUAAACUAGUAUUUUUCCAGGAUUAUCGUCAAUAUCGGGAAGGUAAAUACAUAGUUUUCACAAUUCCUGGCUAACUAUUCACAAAACUAACCUCUCACAUUUCCAUACAAUUUUCCUGCUUUGUGGAGGAGCACUCACUAUAGAAGUCGAGGGCCCUCUCCGCAGUGAAACCAUCCAUAUCGACCAUAAAGUUAUUUACAUUUUCCCCAAGCGACAGCGACGAGGCGCGGCGAAGGGGCAAAAAAUGAGUGGCGGUGGAGCUGCACACAGAAAAAUAAAUCAAGAAGAAAAAAAAAAAAAAAAAAGACAGCUCGCUGUGAGUUUCAUUUGCGUUGCGGGGAAGCUAAAGCCGCCAAAUAAAGAAUCAUAAAAGAUAUCAAAAUAAAUAUGAGGCAGCCGAGGGGCCGCGGAGCCGAGGAAGCAGUUAAAGCUUCAGUAGCAUUGGGCUCAGCAGGCGCUCUCAUUGUUGUUCUUGUUGCUGUUGUUGUUGGUUGCAAAUGCUUAGCUGGUAUUUAGAGGGAAAAAAUAAAUAACCAAGAAGAACUCGAGUCGAAGUCGACGACGCGCCAGUCAAACAAAUAAACUCGCCAAAAACGAGCCAGCUUGAUGGACUGCGAACCUCACAGACCAAAACUUCUCCACCUACACCGCCUCUGAUUUCUCUCUACUCUCCCCCUUCCCUUGCAAAACAACUGAAAUCCGCCGCUAGGCAAAUAAACCACAGAGUGAGUUUUAUGGGACACACGAAAAAAAUCUGAAAAACCUUUGCAUGACCAAUAGAUGUGGUGCCUUUCGGCACGGAUUAUGACUGAAAAGAUACAACCGUAACUAAAGAUGAUUUUUGUAGGCGCCGGAAUUUCUCUACUCUUUCCCAACUAAAAUUUAUUCGAUUUUUCGCUAUUUUUGGCCACUAAAUUGUCGGCGCGUGUGUCUGAAUAAAACACAAAAAAAACCAAAACAAUUUAACAACAUAUCAACUCAGAUAAGACAUAAACAAGUCAAAAUCUACACGAGGUUUUUUUCCCGCCGCUGUUGUUAUGGAAACUUUAGCUCGUUUAUCAAAUUGCGAGACAAUUUUUGUAUGUGCGCUCAAUUAGCACGGGCUAAUAAAGCUUAAAAUAAAUAUGAUAUAUAUUCGUUUUGUUUAACUAUUUUGUAUGUUUCAAUCGAGCUCUAUUUUAAUUUGAAAAUUCAGUAUAAAAACUGAACUGAUUCAGUAUUUAAAUAAAGAACCAUGUUUGAUGGCCUAGGGAAAAUAAUGCAAUAAAUAAUUGUUUGCUACCACUUAUGUCAGCAGAAAAAGGCAUCAAUUUUGUAAUUAGGAAAUGUUCCGUUGCACAAUGGAAUUUCAGUUGAUUUUUGCUCGUUUUUUGUUUACGUUGCCUGCAGCGGCUGCUUAUCAGGCAUUGUUUUCAUUUCGUUUUAUUUAUACUGUGUCAUAAAAAAUAAAUAUUAAUUGAGAUUAUCGCAAUGUGAUAUUGCUAUAUUUACACGUUAUAAUUAAUUGUUCUUAUUUAUUGAAUAUGCAUAGCCCCUCAACCCCCUACCCUCUAGUCACAGUUUAAAUUGAGUUAUUUGCGCGGCGAGGAAUAAAUAAAUACGCAUGUAUAUGUUGCAUAAAAUUAAACGUGUUCAAAUGACAUUAAAUGUGGUUUUUUAUUGAGCUUUCAUUUCGUCUCAUUUUUGGCCUCUGCCCAUCUGCCAAAACGGCGAAAUAUAUAAAAAUAUGCAAAUUGAUAUUGGCCGUGUGUGAGUAUAAUAUAAUUUAUCUGCAUGUUCGGGCCGCCCUGUGGCUGGCAGCAUAAAUUAAUUAUCAAAAGCAUUCAUUUACAUGGCUGACUGCGCGAUCCGACACCCGCUGGCAGGCGGCACCCCCUGCCCACCCAUAGAUACUGUAUCUCACGGAUACACAAUACAUGCACAUACGAUAUGCUCAAGUGUGUGUACGUGUAUGGACCCCCUCCCCUACUCCUCACCCCAACCGUUCCACAGGCCCAGAGUCAAUUUAAAAAAACAUCAUCACAAUCAAUUUGCUUCGUUUCUCGUGAUGGGAAUUAAGUUUUUGUAUAUUUGUGUAUCUCUCGCCUUUUGCCUCUGCAUCAUCGUCAGCUGUUGUUGUAUUUUGUUUGGGGUUUUAUUGUUUUUUUUUUUUGUCUUAUUUGUAUUGUUGUAGUUGGCCCACAUUAUCUAGUGAACGUUGAACGCUUUCGUGCCCCUGUUGUUGUAGUUUUAUUGUUGUUCUUGCCUUCCUACAUGUGUUUAGCGUGUUCAGAAAUUUGCUUUUUUAAUGACGCUCUUGUUGAUUGCCGGCUAUUUGUUAUUAGCCCCCGGAGACCCCGCGAAGCCCCCUAAAAACCCCCAUUGUGUCGGCUGCCCUUGUUUUUAGCUCAUUUGCAAAUUUCAGAAUUUGCAAAUUUAAUGCAAUUUAUUAAUAGUUCGAAUUGCUUAUUUAUGGUUCGUUUCACUUGAUUUAGUGGUGCAAGCAUUUUCAGCCAUUGUCAUGAUGACAGCAAAUGGAUUUAGAUGAAGCCAUAUACACAAGUUUCACAAUUUGGCUUUAUUUCUGAGGUUCUGAAAAUGUUAGAAGAAUUUUGGGGAUUUCAUAGUAUUUAAGUUCUCUACCCGUUUUAUUAGUACCUAAUAAUUCGGAAACUAUAACAGGAAUUUGAUUAAUAGUACAACAAUUUUUUCCUACAACUAAGUUUUACUAUAUAGUCUCAAUGAUUUAGUGUAAUUUUGGUUUUUCUUUUCUUAUCUUAUCUGAAAUAAGUUAAGUGCAAAUAAAUCACAGAUUUAAACAGCGGUUUCUUUUUAUUCUAAGCGCAUAAAACGGGUUUUAAAUUAAGUACCACUUAGUUCUAUUAUCAAUAAGAUAAUGCAUUUGGGAAUUGUGUAAGCAAAUAACAAGCUUCUAGCUUGUUCUUUUUUUGUAUUAAAUGAAAUAAAUAGAAUCAAUUCCAAUCGAAUUCAGUGAAAUUAAAAGGUUUCAAUUCAAUUUGCACACAGUAUUCCCUUGACUAUUGCUUGUCAGAGCUGAGAAAACGGAAUAUAAUCCAUUUUCACAGUGCUGGAACUGAAACUGAAUUGAACUUAGCUGAACCGAGCUGAGCUGAAAUUGAAAUUGCAAACUUCGAGCUCGAUGCUAAUUCGCAUGGGCGGACAGAUAGGCAGUUAGACAGGCGGAAAGUCAGACGGACAGACGGGACGGAGGGGUCGGGGGCGGAAACGAACCAACUGACUUGCAAACGAAGCAACGUUUGUCACUGUCGGGGCGUUUUAUGAAAAUUGAACAAAUCAAUUAAGUCUAAUCGUGCUUUGCCUUUGGGUGGGGCCCCAGUAGUCGGGGGCUCUGGCAUUUGUUUGGCCCCCUCGACAGACAAAUGGACAUAUAAAUGUCUGCAUACGGGGGCCAAUGCCAGAUUGCCAUGGCUUUUCUGUAACUACUGCUCGCUAAAAGCGAAAAGAACAUAAAUAAUAUAUGUACGAAGCUUUGUAGCAAAAGUAGUAACAACAACAACAACAGCGCCGGGGCACAUGCUACAAAUUAUGAACACUGUAAUUAUAUUCGUAUAAUAUUUUGUCAGCCAAUUGACACAUUUGCUGUGGGUGCAAAAGAGCAGGCUUAUGUGUGCUGAAAAGAGAUGGAGCGACGGGCAAUUACGCUGGAGCUCUCGGCUAAAGUCGGUUAACGUGGCUCUUGGCUGCAAUUGCUGGCCGCCAUCUGCGGCAGUUGCGGUUACCGUGGGGCAAGUGCGGCACUGCACAGUUGGGCAAAGUGAAGUAUGUUCGAAAAACCAACAAAAUGUGCCUCUAUUGAAUCAAUUAGGCUGAAAUUUUCUUAUUUAAUAGAAGUAUUAAUAUAUCAUAAGAAAAUGGAAGUGAAAGAAUAACAAAGAAAGUCGUACUACACUCUUUAUCUUUAUCUCGACUUGCCAGCUUAGUUGGCACUGUGACACUUUAAAGUUCUUUUGGCCGAAUAUCAACUGUAUCUGACGGGUUGGCUGACUAACUUGGCUGGCAACUUUUAGCGGCGCACAGUGUGACAAAUUAAUACGUAUGUAUGUAUGUAGGAAUAUGAGUGUGCUUCCAUGUUCCCCGGCUCGUUUCCAUAUCUGUGUACAUGCAGUUCUACACACAAACUCGGCUCGGUUCAGUUUGGCUCGUUCGCUGCUACUGCUGCUGCUGGUGCUAAUGACCGUAACUAAGUUGGCGUCACGAUUGUGUGCGCCACUGGAAGCCAGAUUCCCCACCCCCUUUCCACCACCCCCCUUCAUGCUACCCUUCUCCCGGGCACUAUGAAGCCCCCUUGUGCGGUUUACUUUGUACCGGCCAUUUGUGUAAAAUAUUUUAGUGUUAUGGCCGGGCCAAGAGAGCGCUGCCUAAUAGUCGCUUAAUUGUAUCUGCGUGUGCGUAUCUGUAGCUGUGUGUAUCGCCCAGUGUAUCUAUGCAUUUAUGACUAAACAGUUGUUUAAAUAAACACUUUUGGCAUGUUUACCCGAAAUGCGUCUGCAAUGUUUACUUAAUUAAAUCGAAAAAUGAGCAAACAAAACGAAACGAUAAACGCAAACAACAACCCUAUGCUCUGUCUCAAACGAUAUAAACUUAAAUUUAAAUAAGCUUCAGAUAAGGCAACGGAGAUUUUGCUUCCGGAAUUAGUAGAGUAGUAGAAUUAGUAGUAGUAGUAGAAUUUGAAUUUGCACAGAUAAGCUGAAUAAUGAAGUCGAAAUGCUCGUUAAGUAAAUGUAUUUUUUUAUGGCACAUAAUUUAUGGCCAAAUGGAUAGUUGAGAAGUGAAAGAUUUGCACAGUAAAGCUUAUAUUAGUUGAAACCUAGUAGGUAUUUAGUAAAACCAUCUAUUAAAGUAGUUGUCAUUGUGCUUUUUUGUGAAGUAUUGUUGAUAUAUUUGAAAAGGAAAAUAAGUGAAAAAUUUUAAACUUUUCCGCACUUCCAUUUUAUCAGACAUAUGGGACACACACACUCAUAAACCCGAUAUUCAUUUUCAUAAUUCGAGUAAAUGCAAAACACGCCCAGUGCCUCCCCCUUUCCCCACCGUCGCCCCACCAACACCCCCACCCCCCUCGCACCGUACCGCUCCCCCGUUUUGUUUAUCGCUCAUCGUUCGGCUUCUCGUUCGCCGUGCGCGCUGUUUGGCAUUCGGUUCGCUUGACGCGUCGCCGCAGGCUUCAUUAGGUGAGCGUGAUUCCGAUUCGCAUUUCCAUUUCGACAACGAUUCCCAUGCCCCCCGCUGCACCGCCACCGCCCCUCCUCCUGCCCCUCCCCCAACGCCCUCUUCUUGAUGACCCGCGAAUUCCGCUUGUCUUCCCACAUUACGCUUGCAAAACGAAAUUCCAUUCCAUUGGUGCCGAACAAAAACCCAAAUUAAAUCCACUUCAAUAAAUCUCAAAAAGGUAACAAACAAAACAAAAAGAAACAAAAACCAAGCACACCACCAGGCCUGUCAAUUUUCUAAUCGCCCGAAAUAACAACAAAAAAACUCCAUUUAAUUACAAAUCGGCUUAGAUUGAAACGCCUUAAUUGGCAUUAGCUCGAAAAAAAAUGUGUACACGAAAUACUUGUGUUAAACGCGGCAGCGCAUUCAGACUUUUGUGCACUGCCUACAUUCGGGAAUAAGAGGGUGAAAGUCGCAGAGAAAUUUUGGGAACUUUUCACAGGCAGUGGGGAAAGUUUUCGGUGCAGAAAGUUGAUGCGAUUAUGAUUUUCAAUUUUCAGCAGUCAACGCCGAAAAGCGAGAAUGGACAUCAUAAAGUCCUGCCGACGUCGGUGAUGCUGAAGCAAAGUGGAAAUGUGGAGACGAGGGAAAUGUGGAAAUGUGAAAAUGCCAGCCGAACAAACACAGCCACAGGCGCAGAUGAAAGAGAGCAGAGAGCUACACAAAAUGUGAUAGAUGGAUAAUGUCCUGGCGGGGAGCUUUAUGCGAGGGGUGCAAGUGUAAGGGGCAGUCUCUCUCUGCUUGCGGCCACCGACAAUAAAUUGAGUUUUGCCCAUCCAAGUCCAAGUCCAACUCCAAGACCAAGACCAGGCCAAAAAGCGCCAGCUGUUCCACUCCCAAACUCCCAAAAUCCCGAGCUACCGAGCGAACAGUAGCUGCAAAUCCCCAGCUCAGUUAUAACAUUUAUCGUUGUGCAAACUGCCAGCAGCAGCCGUAGAAGUUGUCCGUUCCAAGGGAUAAGGAUGCACACAAUGUCGAAGGAAAGUCCACCCAUGUGGAUACACGGCGAAAAAUUCAGGAGCUGCAGUUCCAUAAAUAUUGUGCCCACUUUCAGUGUCUUUGUUUUAGUGUUCAAAUAAAAGGCGUCACUGCACAGUGGCUGGCAGAGGGGAAGGAUUGGGCAGGACAAAUAGAAAGUCGGUUGUGCCACGACCCUUGCCGCAAAUAUUUAUGAAAUGAAUACGCUCGCAUUCCCGGCGCUACUCUGAUUGAUGCCCACUGAUGAUGGCCAAUGAGGAGCAGGAGACAUGGGUUCGCUGGACAGUCGGAUGGGUGGAUGGGUGGAUGGAUGGAUGAGUGGAUGGGAUGAUGGCUGGGCCCAUUCGAAAUCACUUUGCAGCUGAACCAAUCGACCGGCAUCGUCUAACGACAAUGACAUGUUUAUCCAGGCGGCAUUCCAAGCCGAUCAUUUACACCUUUGCAUCCCUCCAAUUCGCAAUUUCAUCAAUUACAGCAUUUAAUCAACUCGUUAAGCCAGCUCCAAUGAGCACAAGCCCUCUGUGCGCCACCUGUCGAUAACCCAAAGGGUAACCGGACACUGAGCGAAAUAAUUGCUGUUGAAAAAUAUGUAAAAAUACAUACGUUUAAUAACCCAAGCUAGAUAUGCAUGGUUAGUUAUCUGCUUAUCACUUUUAUUGAAUAGUUUUUGAGCUUAAACUCAUAGAUUAACAUAAAAAAUAAAUAUUACAAAAAAAAUGUUCAUAAGUUCUGGAUAAAAUGUAUUUUAGCAUAUUACUUUGUUAUCUACGAAUGACCUGAAACAAGUAAUAACACACUUCCUCUUGCAAUAAGAAAUACUGCGACUAAUCAAAUAUAUUAUAUUAAGGGACAUAUAAA